RNAcentral lists this unclassified non-coding RNA (240 nucleotides) under soil metagenome. RNAcentral describes it as "partial contains small subunit ribosomal RNA, internal transcribed spacer 1, and 5.8S ribosomal RNA". The record is from RNAcentral.
UUUCCGUAGGUGAACCUGCGGAAGGAUCAUUACCCUUUUAUCAGGGGAUAGGUGUCAGCAGGGCUUCUGUUCUGUCUCUGGCACCUAUUCUCUCUGAUUCUACCCAUGCUUUUUGCGUACUAUUUGUUGCCUUGGUGGGCUUGCCUGCCUGUAGGACAUAUCUAAACCCCUUGUAAUUGCAGUCAGUGUCAGUAAACAUUAUAAUUAUUACAACUUUCAACAACGGAUCUCUUGGUUCUG